GUCAGAGAACAGAUCAGAGGAGGAACUCUCUGAGAUCCACUGCUCAGCUCUGGCCUACAUGCUGCAGAUGUCAGAGGAGAUUCUGGAUGAGUUGGACCUGGUGAAGUUCAACACAUCAGACCAGGGUCGACAGAGACUGAUCCCAGCUGUGAGGAACUGCAGGAAGGCUCGACUCGGUGUAUGUGGACUCUCAGAGACUCAGUGUGAAGUCAUGGCCUCAGCUCUGAAGUCAGACCCCUCACAUCUGAGAGAACUGGAUCUGAGUGGAAACCAGCUGCAGGAUUCAGGAGUGAAGCUGCUGUGUUCUGGACUGGAGAGUCCAAACUGUCAACUGGAGACUCUGAGGUCCUUAAAUCUUUGUUCACUUUUCAGACUUUCUUUCUUAUUGGGUCACUCGUCCUCCUUAGGUUUUCAAAAUAAGACACAUUCUUAUUGAAACACGUUGGACAGUUGAUAAGUAUAGAAACAAACAGGAUGUGACUGUCUGAAGCCAUCCCUACUUUAAACAGUGUUUAAUUAUACAAACCUGCUCAGUGACCAACACACAGAGAAGAGGCUGAUGAAGGAAACAAUGGUCCAACUGUCAGAGAUCAGCUGUUCUUCUCUUGCUUCAGCUCUGAGGUCAAACCCCUCUCAUCUGAGAGAACUGGAUCUGAAUGACAACGACCUGCAGGACUCAGGAGUGAAGGAGCUGUGUGGUUUUCUACAGAGUCCAACCUGUCGAUUGGAGACUCUGAGGUGUGAGGGGUCUUAGUGAAGGUGAGUGUGAAGAGGACAGUGUGUUUGGACGGAGGCUGAGCUGUGUCCUGAGGAUCCAGAGGCUGAAGCAGCAGCAGCUUGUGUGUAGUCUCCAAUUUACACAAUCUGCAUGUGUUUGUGAGAUGAAGCUGGAGCACCUGGAGAAAACACGGGGAGAACAUGCAGACUCCACACAGGAAGACCCAAUCUGAAACGGAUUCAAACCUGCAAACUCCUUGCCCUGAUUGUGUUUAUUCUGACACAACACAAGCAGAAUAUAUAAACCCUCUGUAAAGAGUCACAUACAGUGUAUUUAAGUUGGUCUUUACUAUUUUCCACUGUUGUCCCUCAGUAUGUCUCCAUGUGUGUAGAACCACAUUCUGUGUAUAUGUUUGUUUAUGAUCUUAAAGUUCCUGGAUUCACGUCACAAAUUGAUUUAGUUCAACACAAAGUUAAACACACUGAAAUCACUUUAAAUUCAAAAUCAGACUUUUGUCUUUGAAACAAAAGAUCAAAACUCUGGACUUAAAAAUGGGACGUUUUCAUUUCUGCAUCAGGUGCAGAGCGGUGGUUGCUUUUCUACUUUUGACCCACAGGUGGCUCUGUAGUAUAACAGCAGAACAUCCCAGUCCAAGCCUUUAUAUUCAGUCUAUGAGUCAAACACAUGGAUCAUUUCCUCUGUGACAAACCAGAUGUAACGAGAAGAAAAACAUCUCAGAGAGAAAAGUUCUGUUUCUACUUGUCUCUGCUUUAAUGCUCAAUAAACAUCCUUCCACCGAC
Molecule: long non-coding RNA, 1518 nt
Organism: Limanda limanda (common dab)
Lineage: Eukaryota; Metazoa; Chordata; Actinopteri; Pleuronectiformes; Pleuronectidae
Exons: 3
Source: RefSeq, a predicted model, not a curated record